Non-coding RNA from Paramuricea clavata, 70 nucleotides. The record is from the annotation of a GenBank genome assembly. Lineage: Eukaryota; Metazoa; Cnidaria; Anthozoa; Malacalcyonacea; Plexauridae.
ACCGCGUAGCUCAGUUGGAAGAGCAUUGGGCUAGUAUUCCAAAGGUCGUAGGUUCGAAGCUCGCCCGGUG